Molecule: ribosomal RNA, 615 nt
Filed under: Salmonella enterica subsp. enterica serovar Weslaco str. 247K
Lineage: Bacteria; Pseudomonadati; Pseudomonadota; Gammaproteobacteria; Enterobacterales; Enterobacteriaceae
Description: bacterial LSU rRNA
Rfam family: Bacterial large subunit ribosomal RNA
Source: RNAcentral
GACAUCAGGAGGUUAGUGCAAUGGCAUAAGCCAGCUUGACUGCGAGCGUGACGGCGCGAGCAGGUGCGAAAGCAGGUCAUAGUGAUCCGGUGGUUCUGAAUGGAAGGGCCAUCGCUCAACGGAUAAAAGGUACUCCGGGGAUAACAGGCUGAUACCGCCCAAGAGUUCAUAUCGACGGCGGUGUUUGGCACCUCGAUGUCGGCUCAUCACAUCCUGGGGCUGAAGUAGGUCCCAAGGGUAUGGCUGUUCGCCAUUUAAAGUGGUACGCGAGCUGGGUUUAGAACGUCGUGAGACAGUUCGGUCCCUAUCUGCCGUGGGCGCUGGAGAACUGAGGGGGGCUGCUCCUAGUACGAGAGGACCGGAGUGGACGCAUCACUGGUGUUCGGGUUGUCAUGCCAAUGGCACUGCCCGGUAGCUAAAUGCGGAAGAGAUAAGUGCUGAAAGCAUCUAAGCACGAAACUUGCCCCGAGAUGAGUUCUCCCUGAGACUUAAAGUCUCCUGAAGGAACGUUGAAGACGACGACGUUGAUAGGCCGGGUGUGUAAGCGCAGCGAUGCGUUGAGCUAACCGGUACUAAUGAACCGUGAGGCUUAACCUUACAACGCCGAAGGUGUUU